AUUUUGUUUUCGUUUUUUUUCUUUUCUUGCUUUUUUUUGCUUUUUUUUUUUUUAAAGAUAAAAUACAUAUGUGAUAAUAUAGAUGUUCUACGCAUAUAUAACGUGUGGACAUGCACACAUACGCACAUAUAUAUCUAUAUAUAUACUACAUAUGCCACGUGUUAUCCACAAAAAAAGACACUGUAAGCGUUUGUUUUAGUGUUUUGUAAAAUAAAUUACAAAAAUGAGUAGUUUGAAUAAAAAAAAAAAAAAAAAAAAGUUGUUAUCAGAUGAUGAAAACGACAGUGCAAAUGAAGAAACUAAUAAAGAAGUCGAAGCCAAUGAGAUGAAGGAGGCAGAAAAUAACAUUGAAAAUGGCACUAGAUUAACAAAUGACGACAGAACAGAAGAAGAAAAAAAUAUUAACAACAAUAAUGAAGAUAUAGAAACAGAGACAAAUCUUACUAAUAAAGAAGAAGUUUUCGGAGAAGAAAACGAAAACAAUAAAAAUGAUAAUGACACCAAUACAAAAAAAAAUAAGAAGAUGAAAAAAUUAAAAAAAUUGAAAAAGGUAGUAAGCGAAGAUGACGAUAGUGACAAAAACAAUAAAGAAAAUGGUUCGGAGGUAGAAGAUACAAAUGAAUUGAUAAAAAAUAAUGAGAAAAAAAAAAUUUUUUCAAAAAGUGAUUUUAUAGUAAAAAAGAAAAGUAGUAGUAAUAUCGUUAAGAAGAAAGAACAGAAAAAUAGUGUGGGUAGUAUAAAAUCUGCUAAAAAAGGCAAAAGUGACGGAAGUGAAGUAGAAGAAGAGGUAGAAUAUGAUGACGAGAAUGAAUCAGAGGAAGAAGAAUAUGCUGACGAAUCAGAGGAUGAAAUAAAAGAAGAAUACGACGAAGAAGAUGAUGGUGAAAUGCAUGUCAAAUUAAAAAAUAAAAAUAAACAAACAAAAAAGGAACUAAAAAAAAAAAAAAAAACUAAUCUACGUGAAAAUGAAGAAGAUGAUUUGUUUAAUGAAGAUGAAAAUGAAGAUAAUGAAAAUUUUAAAAAUAAAUUAAAAACGGAAAGAAAUAAAAAAAGAAAAAGAAAUGUUGCAAACUCUAAACUAAUGGAAGAUAUUAAUAUAAAUGAAGAUAAAGUAAAAUUAAAAUCAAUUUAUAUGUCCUUUUUAACUAAAAAAUAUAAUAUUGAGGAAUAUAUCAUUGAAAGUUUAAAAGUGAUAAUACCAUUAAAUAAACAAAAUAUUUUUCUAGGUAAAGAAAAUAUUAUUAUUGAUAAUACAACUAAAGAAGAAGUCAAAAAUUCAGAAAUUUUUUGGUUUGAAAAAUUAACAACGAGUAGAAGAAAGAGUAUCAUUAAUUGUUUUACUACUUUAAGUAAACUAGGGAUAGUACUCACGGAUGAUAGUAGCACAUAUAAUAAGAAUAACAUUACAGAGGAAGCAAAAUGUAAUGGUCACGUUGAUAAUGAUAACAAUGUAAACAACGAUAACAAUGUAAACAACGAUAACAAUGUAAACAACAAUAACAAUGUAAACAACGAUAACAAUGUAAACAACGAUAACAAUGUGAACAACGAUAACAAUGUGAACAACGAUAACAAUGUGAAUAACGAUAACAAUGUGAACAACGAUAACAAUGUGAACAACAAUAACAAUGUAAACAACGAUAACAGUAGCUGUAACAACGACGGUAAUAAUGAUUGUGAUAACCAGAGCGAAAACAAAAAUGUACCGGAUAAUGACAAUGAUUUGCCUAAUGCAGACAAAAGCAAUAUAAAACAUAGUGCAAAUAUGUCAUGUGAAAAUAAAAAACAAGAACAAUUAAAUUUUAAUAAAAUAUUCAGUAAUUAUCAUAAAACUAACUUUAAAGAUUUAAUAAUAAUUGAUUAUGUAGUUAACAUAUGUAAUGAACAAAUAAAACAAAUAAAAGAAUAUAUUGCUUUUUUAAAAAAAAAUAUCUACGAAUUGUCCAUUAUUGAAAAUAAUAAUAUAAUAAAAGAAUUAAAUAUCUUAGAACCAAUAAAAAGAAGAGAAAUAUUUUUUUAUUUAAAUUUAUGUAUAUCU
RNAcentral lists this long non-coding RNA (2038 nucleotides) under Piliocolobus tephrosceles (Ugandan red Colobus). Its description in RNAcentral is "lncRNA (ENSPTEG00000007649.1)". Lineage: Eukaryota; Metazoa; Chordata; Mammalia; Primates; Cercopithecidae. The record is from RNAcentral.